This 119-nucleotide ribosomal RNA is filed under the name Myxococcales bacterium. Its description in RNAcentral is "partial 16S ribosomal RNA". It matches the Rfam family "Bacterial small subunit ribosomal RNA", at positions 1 to 126 of the family's 1533-position model. The record is from RNAcentral. Lineage: Bacteria; Pseudomonadati; Myxococcota; Myxococcia; Myxococcales.
UCGAACUGGAGAGUUUGAUCCUGGCUCAGAGCGAACGCUAGCGGCGGGCUUAACACAUGCAAGUCGAACGCUUCACUUCGGUGAGGCGUGGCGGACGGGUGAGUAACACGUAGGUUACC